This 467-nucleotide ribosomal RNA is filed under the name uncultured Rhodocyclaceae bacterium. RNAcentral describes it as "bacterial SSU rRNA". It matches the Rfam family "Bacterial small subunit ribosomal RNA", at positions 917 to 1381 of the family's 1533-position model. The record is from RNAcentral. Lineage: Bacteria; Pseudomonadati; Pseudomonadota; Betaproteobacteria; Rhodocyclales; Rhodocyclaceae.
ACGGGACCGCACAAGCGGUGGAUGAUGUGGAUUAAUUCGAUGCAACGCGAAAACCUUACCUACCCUUGACAUGUCCGGAAUCCCGAAGAGAUUUGGGAGUGCUCGCAAGAGAGCCGGAACACAGGUGCUGCAUGGCUGUCGUCAGCUCGUGUCGUGAGAUGUUGGGUUAAGUCCCGCAACGAGCGCAACCCUUGUCAUUAGUUGCCAUCAUUUGGUUGGGCACUCUAAUGAGACUGCCGGUGACAAACCGGAGGAAGGUGGGGAUGACGUCAAGUCCUCAUGGCCCUUAUAGGUGGGGCUACACACGUCAUACAAUGGCCGGUACAGAGGGUAGCCAACCCGCGAGGGGGAGCCAAUCCCACAAAGCCGGUCGUAGUCCGGAUCGCAGUCUGCAACUCGACUGCGUGAAGUCGGAAUCGCUAGUAAUCGCGGAUCAGCAUGUCGCGGUGAAUACGUUCCCGGGUCUU